GACGAACGCUGGCGGCGUGCUUAACACAUGCAAGUCGAACGGAAAGGCUCCAGCUUGCUGGAGUGCUCGAGUGGCGAACGGGUGAGUAACACGUGGGCAAUCUGCCCUGCACUCUGGGAUAAGCCUGGGAAACUGGGUCUAAUACCGGAUAGGACCUUUCUCCUCAUGGGGUUUGGUGGAAAGUUUUUCGGUGCAGGAUGAGCCCGCGGCCUAUCAGCUUGUUGGUGGGGUAAUGGCCUACCAAGGCGACGACGGGUAGCCGGCCUGAGAGGGUGAUCGGCCACAUUGGGACUGAGAUACGGCCCAGACUCCUACGGGAGGCAGCAGUGGGGAAUAUUGCACAAUGGGCGAAAGCCUGAUGCAGCGACGCCGCGUGAGGGAUGACGGCCUUCGGGUUGUAAACCUCUUUCAGUAGGGACGAAGCGCAAGUGACGGUACCUGCAGAAGAAGCACCGGCUAACUACGUG
This 467-nucleotide ribosomal RNA is filed under the name uncultured bacterium. RNAcentral describes it as "partial 16S ribosomal RNA". It matches the Rfam family "Bacterial small subunit ribosomal RNA", at positions 28 to 507 of the family's 1533-position model. The record is from RNAcentral.